This 258-nucleotide ribosomal RNA is filed under the name uncultured bacterium. RNAcentral's name for it is "partial 16S ribosomal RNA". It matches the Rfam family "Bacterial small subunit ribosomal RNA", at positions 524 to 778 of the family's 1533-position model. The record is from RNAcentral.
GACGGAGGAUGCAAGUGUUAUCCGGAAUCACUGGGCGUAAAAGCGUCUGUAGGUGGUUUAAAAAGUCUAUUGUUAAAAAUUGAAGACUUAACUUCAAAGAUGCAAUGGAAACUUUUAAACUUGAGUAUGGUAGGGUAGAGGGAAUUUCCAGUGGAGGCGGUGAAAUGCGUAGAUAUUGGAAAGACCACCAAUGGCGAAGGCACUCUACUGGGCCAAUUACUGACACUGAGAGACGAAAGCUAGGGGAGCAAAUGGGAU